UACGGGGGGGGCAAGCGUUGUUCGGAAUUACUGGGCGUAAAGGGCUCGUAGGCGGCCAACUAAGUCAGACGUGAAAUCCCCAGGCUCAACCUGGGAACUGCGUCUGAUACUGGAUGGCUUGAAUCCGGGAGAGGGAUGCAGAAUUCCAGGUGUAGCGGUGAAAUGCGCAGAUAUCAGGAGGAACACCGGUGGCGAAGGCGGGUCUCUGGGCCGAAACUGACGCUGAGGAGCGAAAGCGUGGGGAGCAAACAGG
Molecule: ribosomal RNA, 253 nt
Filed under: uncultured bacterium
Lineage: Bacteria
Description: partial 16S ribosomal RNA
Rfam family: Bacterial small subunit ribosomal RNA
Source: RNAcentral